RNAcentral lists this ribosomal RNA (520 nucleotides) under uncultured Sulfurovum sp. RNAcentral's name for it is "bacterial SSU rRNA". It matches the Rfam family "Bacterial small subunit ribosomal RNA", at positions 877 to 1397 of the family's 1533-position model. The record is from RNAcentral. Lineage: Bacteria; Pseudomonadati; Campylobacterota; Epsilonproteobacteria; Campylobacterales; Sulfurovaceae.
GGAGUGCGGUCGCAAGAUUAAAACUCAAAGGAAUAGACGGGGACCCGCACAAGUGGUGGAGCAUGUGGUUUAAUUCGAAGAUACGCGAAGAACCUUACCUAGCCUUGACAUAUUUUAGAACACUUUAGAGAUAGAGUGGUGCCUUCGGGAGCUAAUAUACAGGUGCUGCACGGCUGUCGUCAGCUCGUGUCGUGAGAUGUUGGGCUAAGUCCCGCAACGAGCGCAACCCUCGUCACUAGUUACUAACGGUUCGGCCGAGGACUCUAGUGAGACUGCCUUCGUAAGGAGGAGGAAGGUGAGGACGACGUCAAGUCAUCAUGGCCCUUACGGCUAGGGCAACACACGUGCUACAAUGGCCAGGACAAUGAGACGCGAUACCGCGAGGUGGAGCAAAUCUAUAAACCUGGUCUCAGUUCGGAUUGUAGUCUGCAACUCGACUACAUGAAGCUGGAAUCACUAGUAAUCGUAGAUCAGCUAUGCUACGGUGAAUACGUUCCCGGGUCUUGUACACACCGCCCGU